This 392-nucleotide ribosomal RNA is filed under the name uncultured bacterium. RNAcentral describes it as "bacterial SSU rRNA". It matches the Rfam family "Bacterial small subunit ribosomal RNA", at positions 28 to 414 of the family's 1533-position model. The record is from RNAcentral.
GACGAACGCUGGCGGCGCGCUUAACACAUGCAAGUCGAGCGAGAACCAGAGCUUCGGCUCUGGGGACAGCGGCGAACGGGUGAGUAACACGUGGGUAAUCUGCCCUCGGUACUGGGAUAGCCCGGGGAAACCCGGAUUAAUACCGGAUGGCCCUUUGAGUCCUCGGACUUGAAGGAACAGGUAGCUUCGGCCUCCGACCGAGGAUGAGCCCGCGGCGGAUUAGCUUGUUGGUGGGGUAACGGCCACCAAGGCUCCGAUCCGUAGCUGGUCUGAGAGGACGAUCAGCCACACUGGGACUGAGACACGGCCCAGACUCCUACGGGAGGCAGCAGUGGGGAAUCUUGUCCAAUGGGCGAAAGCCUGAGACAGCGACGCCGCGUGCGGGAAGAAGG